UCAGAAGAUAGUUUAAUAUAAAAUAUUGGCUUUGGAAGUUAAUGAUAAGUUUUUUCUUCUGUUUUGAA
Molecule: transfer RNA, 68 nt
Filed under: Thereuopoda clunifera
Lineage: Eukaryota; Metazoa; Arthropoda; Chilopoda; Scutigeromorpha; Scutigeridae
Description: tRNA-Pro
Rfam family: tRNA (bases 2-62)
About the family: Transfer RNA (tRNA) molecules are approximately 80 nucleotides in length. Their secondary structure includes four short double-helical elements and three loops (D, anti-codon, and T loops). Further hydrogen bonds mediate the characteristic L-shaped molecular structure. tRNAs have two regions of fundamental functional importance: the anti-codon, which is responsible for specific mRNA codon recognition, and the 3' end, to which the tRNAs corresponding amino acid is attached (by aminoacyl-tRNA synthetases). tRNAs cope with the degeneracy of the genetic code in two manners: having more than one tRNA (with a specific anti-codon) for a particular amino acid; and 'wobble' base-pairing, i.e. permitting non-standard base-pairing at the 3rd anti-codon position.
Source: RNAcentral